Molecule: transfer RNA, 74 nt
Filed under: Portunus trituberculatus (swimming crab)
Lineage: Eukaryota; Metazoa; Arthropoda; Malacostraca; Decapoda; Portunidae
Description: tRNA-Leu
Rfam family: tRNA
About the family: Transfer RNA (tRNA) molecules are approximately 80 nucleotides in length.
Source: RNAcentral
CGCCCGGUAGCUCAGUGGUUAGAGCUCUGGCUUCAGAAGCCAGAGGACCGAGGUUCGAUUCCCCGGCCGGGUGG